Molecule: ribosomal RNA, 741 nt
Filed under: uncultured archaeon
Lineage: Archaea
Description: bacterial SSU rRNA
Rfam family: Archaeal small subunit ribosomal RNA
Source: RNAcentral
ACGGGGUGCAGCAGGCGCGAAAACUGACCAAUGCGCGAAAGCGUGAGUCGGUCAAUCCGAGUGUAGACCCAUCGGUUUACUUUUGUCAUGUGUACAACGCUUGGCGAAUAAUGUGAGGGCAAGACUGGUGCCAGCCGCCGCGGUAAAACCAGCUCAUAGAGUGGUGAUCAUGAUUAUUUGGCUUAAAGUGUGCGUAGUAGGGAAUUCUAAGUCCUCUGUGAAAUGUCAGGUCUUAAGCUUGACACGUGCAGAGGAUACUGGAAUCCUUGGGACUGGGAUAGGUGUAAUGUACGGUUUGGGUAGGGGUGAAAUCCGAUAAUCCAAGCCGGACAACCGGUGGCGAAGGCGUUACACUGGAACAGGUCCGACUGUGAGGCACGAAAGCUAGGGUCGCGAGCCGGAUUAGAUACCCGGGUAGUCCUAUGCUGUAAACGAUGCUCACUAAGUGUUAGGUAAUGCAAGACAUUCUCUAGUGCCGAAGCGAAAGCGUUAAGUGAGCCGCCUGGGAAGUACGUUCGCAAGAAUGAAACUUAAAGGAAUUGGCGGGGGCCUACUACAAGAAGUGGAGCCUGCGGUUUAAUUGGACUCAACUCCGGGAAACUCACCUGGGCCGUAACGUGGAUGAUUGUCCUGUUGAAGACACUGCUUGACGCGUUACUGGAGGUGCAUGGCCAUCGUCAGUUCGUGCCGUGAGGUGUCCUGUUAAGUCAGGCAACGAACGAGAUCCCUACCGUCAAUUGC